GAAAUGCGAUAAUUAAUGUGAAUUGCAGAAUUCAGUGAAUCAUCGAGUCUUUGAACGCACAUUGCGCCCCCUGGUAUUCCGGGGGGCAUGCCUGUCCGAGCGUCAUUGCUGCCCUCAAGCACGGCUUGUGUGUUGGGCUUCCGUCCCUGGCAACGGGGACGGGCCCAAAAGGCAGUGGCGGCACCAUGUCUGGUCCUCGAGCGUAUGGGGCUUUGUCACCCGCUCCCGUAGGUCCAGCUGGCAGCUAGCCUCGCAACCAAUCUUUUUAACCAGGUUGACCUCGGAUCAGGUAGGGAUACCCGCUGAACUCAAGC
Molecule: unclassified non-coding RNA, 314 nt
Filed under: plant metagenome
Description: partial contains 5.8S ribosomal RNA, internal transcribed spacer 2, and large subunit ribosomal RNA
Rfam family: 5.8S ribosomal RNA (bases 1-105)
Source: RNAcentral